Molecule: ribosomal RNA, 207 nt
Filed under: uncultured bacterium
Lineage: Bacteria
Description: partial 16S ribosomal RNA
Rfam family: Bacterial small subunit ribosomal RNA
Source: RNAcentral
CGCGUAGGCGGUUUUGUAAGUCGAAUGUGAAAGCCCCGGGCUUGACCUGGGAAUUGCGUUCGAUACUGCGAAACUAGAGUACGGUAGAGGGAAGUGGAAUUCCGGGUGUAGCGGUGAAAUGCGUAGAUAUCCGGAGGAACACCAGUGGCGAAGGCGACUUCCUGGGCCAGUACUGACGCUGAGGUGCGAAAGCGUGGGGAGCAAACA